UACAUUGGUGUGAACUCUGGCUAACAUGCCGGAUGGUAUGGUUCUUGUACGGAAGACAGAUUUUCCAAUAGUAUGCCCUAUCAACUACCCAGGGUUGCAAACGGGUAACGGGGAAUCAGGGUUUGAUUCCGGAGAGGGAGCCUGAGAAUCGGCUACCACAUCUAAGGAAAGGCAGCAGGCGCGUAAAUUACCCACUCCCAGCUCGGGGAGGUAGUGACGAAAAAUAACAAUACAGGACUCAUAUCCGAGGGCCCUGUAAUUGGAAUGAGUACACUUUAAAUCCUUUUAACAAGGACCAAUUGGAGGGCAAGUCUGGUGCCAGCAGCCGCGGUAAUUCCAGCUCCAAUAGCGUAUAUUAAAGUUGUUGCGGUUAAAACGUUCGUAGUUGAACUUGUGCUUCAUACGGGUAGUACAACUUACAAUUGUGGUUAGUACUAUACCUUUAUGUAUGUAAGCGUAUUACCGGUGGAGUUCUUAUAUAUAAUUAAGUUCUUGUAUUUUUUUAUAUAUUCCUCCUAUUUAAAAACCUGCAUUAGUGCUCUUCAUCGAGUGUUAUUGUGGGCCGGUACAAUUACUUUGAACAAAUUAGAGUGCUUAAAGCAGGCUUCAAAUGCCUGAAUAUUCUGUGCAUGGGAUAAUGAAAUAAGACCUCUGUUCUGCUUUCAUUGGUUUUCAGAUCAAGAGGUAAUGAUUAACAGAAGCAGUAUUACGACGCGAGAGGUAAAAUUCUUGGACCGUCGUAAGACUAACUUAAGCGAAAGCAUUUGCCAAAGAUGUUUUCAUUAAUCAAGAACGAAAGUUAGAGGUUCGAAGGCGAUCAGAUACCGCCCUAGUUCUAACCAUAAACGAUGCCAGCUAGGAAUUGGGUGUAGCUACUUUUAUGGCUCUCUCAGUCGCUUCCCGGGAAACCAAAGCUUUUGGGCUCCGGGGGAAGUAUGGUUGCAAAGCUGAAACUUAAAGGAAUUGAUGGAAGGGCACCACCAGGAGUGGAGCCUGCGGCUUAAUUUGACACAACACGGGAAAACUUACCAGGUCCGAACAUAAGUGUGUAAGACAGAUUGAUAGCUCUUUCUCGAAUCUAUGGGUGGUGGUGCAUGGCCGUUCUUAGUUCGUGGAGGGAUUUGUCUGGUUAAUUCCGAUAACGAACGAAACUCAAAUAUAUUAAAUAGAUAUCUUCAGGAUUAGUGCUCUUCAUCGAGUGUUAUUGUGGGCCGGUACAAUUACUUUGAACAAGCUCACCUCUAGCUGAACCCUCCACGAGGGUGCCGGCUGGGCAAUGGACACUGCAUUACCCCGGACAAGGGUAAUGCACUGUCGCUUGCUCUGUCCGGGGUAAUGCAGUGUCUAGCUAAGGCUAUGGUCCGGCGUCUUCCCGAUUCAAAGUCGGGGGAACCGAACCAGGGCCAUGGCUAGAGGUGCCUGGCGGUCAGGCCUAAAACGCUAGGGGGUGGUCCCCCCGAAAAAUAUUAACCAGUAUGGACCCUCGGGCCAACUAUGGAGUCGAAGAAGGAGCAAGCACGGGUUGGGAUGUCAACCCAAACGUCGGUGGAAAGCGUGACUGCUACCACCGGCGGGCACGGGGAGGAGCAGUCCUACUCGUGCGUGUCGCCAGCGGACACACCUCAGACUAGGCGGGAGCAGCCCAGGUCAGUGGUAAAGGUACUGCUACAACAACA
Molecule: non-coding RNA, 1676 nt
Organism: Drosophila persimilis
Lineage: Eukaryota; Metazoa; Arthropoda; Insecta; Diptera; Drosophilidae
Source: Rfam